This is a non-coding RNA of Sesamum indicum (sesame), 1652 nucleotides long. NCBI's taxonomy places the organism in Eukaryota, Viridiplantae, Streptophyta, Magnoliopsida, Lamiales, Pedaliaceae. The record is from RefSeq and is a predicted model, not a curated record.
CAAAUUUUAAGCGAAAUGAAAUCGGAAUCUGGCCUUUCUCACCUUCUGUACAAAACUUGCCAGGAGUGCCCCCAAUCAAUCAUUAUUCCGUUUUCCCUUCUCCACACUCUUCUUCAGCUAUCUUCUGGUGGUUAUUGAUUUGUAAACAGUGGGUUACUUGGACCACGAUCAAACCCAGUUAGUACUUUCCCUCUCUCUCACUUUUCUGUUGGGUUAAUCAGUCUUCGGUUCCGCCAUUGCCGGGAUGGAGAUAGAUUAUAGGAACAAGCUUGUCCUUGCACCUAUGGUUCGAGUUGGCACACUGCCUUUCAGGCUGCUUGCUGCUGAAUAUGGUGCUGAUAUCACAUAUGGGGAGGAGAUUAUUGAUCACAAACUCCUCAAGUGCGAGCGCCGAAUCAAUGAUGUACUUGGAACUAUCGAUGUGGUGGAGAAAGGAACAGACAGUGUUGUUUUCAGAACAUGCUCUGAAGAAAAAAAUCGAGUUGUUUUCCAGAUGGGAACUUCAGAUGCAGUAAGAGCUCUCCGUGCUGCCCAAAAUGUGUGCAUGGAUGUUGCUGCUGUGGAUAUAAAUAUGGGUUGCCCCAAGUCUUUCUCUAUUAGUGGUGGAAUGGGUGCUGCGCUGUUGACAAAACCCGAUCUCAUUCAUGAUAUUUUGACAACAUUGAAAAGAAACCUUAAUACACCUGUGACAUGCAAGAUCCGUCUAUUAAAAUCAACUCAAGACACUGUGGAAUUAGCACGAAGAAUUGAGAAAACUGGUGUAUCUGCUCUAGCUGUCCAUGGAAGGAAAGUUGCUGAUAGGCCAAGAGAUCCAGCUAAGUGGAGUGAGAUUGCUGAUGUUGUAGCUGCAGUUUCCAUCCCAGUUAUUGCCAAUGGCGAUGUAUUUGAGUAUGAAGAUUUUGAACGCAUCAAAGUCGCUACAGGUGCUUCAUCUGUGAUGGUUGCCAGAGGUGCCCUUUGGAAUGCCUCUAUAUUCUCUCCAAAAGGAAAAUUACCCUGGGAAGACGUGAAAAGAGAGUAUGUUAGUAAGAGUAUCUUAUGGGAUAAUGAUAUCAAGAGCACUAAACACACGUUGAAGGAAAUGAUAAUGCACUAUUCUUGUCUUGAACUCCCAGAGGGGAAGGCUGUAAUAAAGUCGGACACCCUGGCAGAUCUGGCGCAUUUUCAAACAAUAGGAAAAGUUUAGAACUUGAAAAGACGACAUUAUGGAGAAGAUAAUUACUACGAGCUCAUCAAUAAAAGUCGGUCAUCCUUUCGAGGUAGUAGAUGACAUCAUUUUAAUAUUCUCCCCGAGUGGCAGGUUGUUCUGACCCAUGGUGCAAAUAUUUCAAUUGGCUUAAACUCAUGAUGACAGUUCCCAUGCAAUUUGAUCCAGAAACUGCUGAGAGCUGUGAUGUUGUAUUAGUCCAUCUUAGUUGAUUUUUUCAUAGUUACAUUACUAUAGCCACAUUUCUGUUAAACUUAUGAUGCUGCAAAUUGGUAAGUUUUAUGGCCAAUUUGCAGUUGGAGGCAGUCAAUGUGCACCAGAAUAUGCAUGAUCAAUUCCUAGUAGUACCUUCUUUCGUCCAACUUGGAUUUUGUGAUUCUUUUGGAUGGAACAAUGAACAGUGUGUUGUACUAUAUGUAUAUUAUCAGUUAAGUUUUCAAGUGUA